GACGAACGCUGGCGGCGUGCCUAACACAUGCAAGUCGAACGGAAAGGCCCUGCUUUUGUGGGGUGCUCGAGUGGCGAACGGGUGAGUAACACGUGAGUAACCUGCCCUUGACUUUGGGAUAACUUCAGGAAACUGGGGCUAAUACCGGAUAGGAGCUCCUGCUGCAUUGUGGGGGUUGGAAAGUUUCGGCGGUUGGGGAUGGACUCGCGGCUUAUCAGCUUGUUGGUGGGGUAGUGGCUUACCAAGGCUUUGACGGGUAGCCGGCCUGAGAGGGUGACCGGCCACAGUGGCACUGAGAUACGGCCGGGAGUGCUACGGGAGGCAGCAGUGGGGGAUAUUGCACAAUGGGCGGAAGCCUGAUGCAGCAACGCCGCGUGCGGGAUGACGACCUUCGGGGUGUAAGCCGCUUUCGCCUGUGACGAAGCGUGAGUGACGGUAAUGGGUGAAGAAGCACCGGCUAACUACGUG
This 468-nucleotide ribosomal RNA is filed under the name uncultured bacterium. Its description in RNAcentral is "partial 16S ribosomal RNA". It matches the Rfam family "Bacterial small subunit ribosomal RNA", at positions 28 to 507 of the family's 1533-position model. The record is from RNAcentral.